UAAUUAACCUGCUGCUUUCUUGUUGUUUCAGGAGUUCUGGUUAUGGCGAUCGUGGCAGCUCUUACAGAGAUGGUUAUGAUAGUUAUGCUGUACACGAGUAAAGCCCAAGACCCGACGCGUCAGCGGCCGAGCGUUUCUAAAGACUCAUGGAUCUGUUCUUGGAUUUGUUGUAGCUGUUCUCCCUGUUUCUGUUCUGUUCUUGUAUUCUGAGGGAAAGGCCGCUUUCUGUUCACCGGCUGUGAAUGAAUGAAUGUCUGUCGAUGGGUUCCUCUUCUGCCUCGUUUGAAUCCUUAAACUCAUCAUCCCGAGCCUCACUGUCAUGUUAGCGCUCACCUGUGCUUCUAUGGGGAGUCCAGAGAGCGUUGGCUCUCCUCUGUUUAUGUUACUGAUGCGCAGCCGCUGUCAUUACGAGCACGGCUCCUUCUGUUAGCUGUAAGCCAUUGAUUUGUCCAUGUCCCGUAUCCAAAACGUCACUUCCUUUCAGGCUGGUGAGCUGCGCAUUGGACGGCUGGCACUGGCGCUGCGGUUCUUGAGCCUUGCUGAGGUAUCUGUCUGUCUGUCGCUGCUCCUCGCAUCCUGCAUUUUAACCAUGGACUCUUGACUAAUCUAUCUAUCAAUCAUUUACUUGAAAGAGAACCAGAAAUUGUUAACAGUACACUCCAGAACUGGGAAAGAAAUCCUUGUGCUCUUGUUUCCUUUGUAUGAAAAUUUGACUCACUAUUUUGUUUUAUUUUUAUUUUUUUGCUUUUCAAUUGUGGCUUCAUGGAGCCUAUUAAACGAAA
Molecule: long non-coding RNA, 782 nt
Organism: Sinocyclocheilus grahami
Lineage: Eukaryota; Metazoa; Chordata; Actinopteri; Cypriniformes; Cyprinidae
Exons: 2
Source: RefSeq, a predicted model, not a curated record